Molecule: ribosomal RNA, 292 nt
Filed under: uncultured bacterium
Lineage: Bacteria
Description: partial 16S ribosomal RNA
Rfam family: Bacterial small subunit ribosomal RNA
Source: RNAcentral
GUGCCAGCCGCCGCGGUAAGACAGAGGGUGCAAACGUUGCUCGGAAUUACUGGGCGUAAAGCGCGUGUAGGCGGACCCACAAGUCAGGCGUGAAAUCCCUGGGCUCAACCCAGGAACUGCACCUGAAACUGUGGGUCUGGAGUGGUGGAGAGGGAAGCAGAAUUCCUGGUGUAGAGGUGAAAUUCGUAGAUAUCAGGAGGAACACCGGUGGCGAAGGCGGCUUCCUGGACACUAACUGACGCUGAGACGCGAAAGCGUGGGGAGCAAACAGGAUUAGAUACCCGCGUAGUCC